This 468-nucleotide ribosomal RNA is filed under the name uncultured bacterium. RNAcentral describes it as "partial 16S ribosomal RNA". It matches the Rfam family "Bacterial small subunit ribosomal RNA", at positions 28 to 507 of the family's 1533-position model. The record is from RNAcentral.
GACGAACGCUGGCGGCGUGCUUAACACAUGCAAGUCGAACGGAAAGGCCCUGCUUUUGUGGGGUGCUCGAGUGGCGAACGGGUGAGUAACACGUGAGUAACCUGCCCUUGACUUUGGGAUAACUUCAGGAAACUGGGGCUAAUACCGGAUAGGAGCUCCUGCUGCAUGGUGGGGGUUGGAAAGUUUCGGCGGUUGGGGAUGGACUCGCGGCUUAUCAGCUUGUUGGUGGGGUAGUGGCUUACCAAGGCUUUGACGGGUAGCCGGCCUGAGAGGGUGACCGGCCACAUUGGGACUGAGAUACGGCCCAGACUCCUACGGGAGGCAGCAGUGGGGAAUAUUGCACAAUGGGCGGAAGCAUGAUGCAGCAACGCCGCGUGCGGGAUGACGGCCUUCGGGUUGUAAACCGCUUCCGCCUGUGACGAAGCGUGAGUGACGGUAAUGGGUAAAGAAGCACCGGCUAACUACGUG